RNAcentral lists this transfer RNA (66 nucleotides) under Taenia saginata (beef tapeworm). RNAcentral describes it as "tRNA-Lys". The record is from RNAcentral. Lineage: Eukaryota; Metazoa; Platyhelminthes; Cestoda; Cyclophyllidea; Taeniidae.
AUCUAUAUAUUCUAAAUGUAAAGAGGCUGAAUUCUUACUUCAGUAAUGUGAGUUUCACUAUAGGUU